Non-coding RNA from Ceratotherium simum simum (southern white rhinoceros), 470 nucleotides. The record is from the annotation of a RefSeq genome assembly. Lineage: Eukaryota; Metazoa; Chordata; Mammalia; Perissodactyla; Rhinocerotidae.
CAGAAGGAAGCCUGCAGUGUUCCCACUGCUCAACCAUGCUCAUGGUGUUCAUCCCAGUACUGGGGAUGCUUUUUACCCUGAGAGACACCAGAGCCCAGUCAGUGACCCAGCCUGAUGGCCAUGUCUUGGUCUCUGAAGAAGCCUCACUGGAGCUGAGGUGCAACUAUUCCUAUGGUGCAACUCCUUAUCUCUUCUGGUACAUCCAGUACCCCAGCCAAGGCCUCCAGCUUCUCAUUAAGCACUUUUCAGGGGACACCCUGGUUCAAGGCAUUAAAGGCUUUGAGGCUGAAUUUAGGAAAAGUGACUCUUCCUUCAACCUGAAGAAAUCCUCAGCCCAUUGGAGCGACUCCGCUGAGUACUUCUGUGCUCUGAGUGACACAGUGCCCGAGACUGCAGGGGGAGCUGAACACAAUCCAUUCACUGCAGUGGAUUUUUCUGAGACUCAAGAUCUCUUUGUGUGGUAUUUUUAA